This 381-nucleotide ribosomal RNA is filed under the name uncultured bacterium. Its description in RNAcentral is "partial 16S ribosomal RNA". The record is from RNAcentral.
GUAGUUAGCCGGGGCUUCCUCCUUGGCUACCGUCAUUUUUUCGUCACCAAGGACAGAGGUUUACAACCCGAAGGCCUUCUUCCCUCACGCGGCGUUGCUGGGUCAGGCUUUCGCCCAUUGCCCAAUAUUCCCCACUGCUGCCUCCCGUAGGAGUCUGGACCGUGUCUCAGUUCCAGUGUGGCCGAUCAGCCUCUCAGCUCGGCUACCCAUCGUCGACUUGGUGGGCCGUUACCCCGCCAACUAUCUAAUGGGACGCGAGCCCUCCCUCUGCGGAUUACUCCUUUGACCUCUCUCCGAUGCCGGAAUGUGGUCUUAUGCGGUAUUAGCAUCUGUUUCCAAAUGUUAUCCCCCUCAAACGGGUCAGGUUGCUCACGCGUACUC